This 262-nucleotide unclassified non-coding RNA is filed under the name uncultured fungus. Its description in RNAcentral is "partial contains 5.8S ribosomal RNA, internal transcribed spacer 2, and large subunit ribosomal RNA". The stretch from base 1 to 52 matches the Rfam family "5.8S ribosomal RNA", at positions 103 to 154 of the family's 154-position model. The record is from RNAcentral. Lineage: Eukaryota; Fungi.
AACGCACAUUGCGCCCCCUGGUAUUCCGGGGGGCAUGCCUGUCCGAGCGUCAUUGCUGCCCUCAAGCCCGGCUUGUGUGUUGGGCCGCCGUCCCCCGCCUCCCGGGGGACGGGCCCGAAAGGCAGCGGCGGCACCGCGUCCGGUCCUCGAGCGUAUGGGGCUUCGUCACCCGCUCUUGCAGGCCCGGCCGGGCGCCCGCCGGCGACCAUCAUCCUCUCUCCAGGUUGACCUCGGAUCAGGUAGGGAUACCCGCUGAACUUAA